This 1578-nucleotide ribosomal RNA is filed under the name human gut metagenome. RNAcentral's name for it is "bacterial LSU rRNA". It matches the Rfam family "Bacterial large subunit ribosomal RNA", at positions 910 to 2505 of the family's 2925-position model. The record is from RNAcentral.
CUGAAUUUCCUAGGGGGCGUCAAAGCUUACCGAAGAAUAUCAAACUCCGAAUGCCGUGUAGAUGUUGUAUGGGAGUCAGACUGUACGAGAUAAGUUGGACAGUCAAAAGGGAAAGAGCCCAGACCUGCAGCUAAGGCCCCAAAAUGUGUGUUAAGUGGAAAAGGAUGUGGGAUUUCAAAGACAACUAGGAUGUUGGCUUAGAAGCAGCCAUACAUUUAAAGAGUGCGUAACAGCUCACUAGUCGAGAAAACCUGCGCCGAAAAUUUAACGGGGCUAAAACACGACACCGAAGCUACGGAUUUCCUACUAGGUAGGAAGUGGUAGAGGAGCAUCCUGCAAGGACGAAGCCAAAGUGAGAACGAUGGUGGACGAAACAGGAGAGAGAAUGCCGGAAUGAGUAGCGAGAUAGAAGUAAGAAACUUCUAGGCCGAAUAUCUAAGGUUUCCUGGGUAAAGCUAAUCUUCCCAGGGUUAGUCGGGGCCUAAGGCGAGGACGAAAGUCGUAGUCGAUGGAUAACAGGUUGAUAUUCCUGUACUACGUAUCAUCAGAACUGUGGGGACGCAGGAGGAUAGGAAAACCGGGGAAUGGAAAAACCCGGCCAAGUACAAAGUCAAGGGAGAUAGGCAAAUCCGUCUCUUGAUGAUGAAGUGCGAUGGGGACUGAACAAAAGUAGGGAAGUUUCCGAAUCCACACUGUCGAGAAAAGCCGCUAUUGUGUGAUACGUACCCGUACCGUAAACCGACACAGGUAGAUGAGGAGAAAAUCCACAGGCCGACGGGAGAAGUGUUGUUAAGGAACUCGGCAAAAUGACCCCGUAACUUAGGGAGAAGGGGAGCCACGCAAGUGGCCGCAGAAAAGAGGCUCAAGCGACUGUUUAGCAAAAACACAGGUCUCUGCGAAACCGAAAGGUGAAGUAUAGGGGCUGACACCUGCCCGGUGCUGGAAGGUUAAAAGGAGAGGUUCGACGUAAGUCAAAGCUUUGAAUUCAAGCCCCAGUAAACGGCGGCCGUAACUAUAACGGUCCUAAGGUAGCGAAAUUCCUUGUCAGGUAAGUUCUGACCCGCACGAAAGGUGUAACGAUUUGAGCACUGUCUCGACAACACGCCCGGUGAAAUUGAAGAACCAGUGAAGAUACUGGUUACCCGCAACAGGACGGAAAGACCCCAUGGAGCUUUACUGCAGCUUAAUAUUGGGAUUCGGUAUUGUAUGUACAGGAUAGGAGGGAGACUAAGAAGCUAGCACGCCAGUGUUGGUGGAGUCGAUGGUGGGAUACCUCUCUUAUAAUACUGAAUUUCUAACCUACUUCCGUGAUCCGGAAGAGGGACAUUGUUAGGCGGGCAGUUUGACUGGGGCGGUCGCCUCCGAAAGAGUAACGGAGGCGCUCAAAGGUCUUCUCAGAAUGAUUGGAAACCAUUCAAAGAGUGUAAAGGCAAAAGAAGGCUUGACUGCGAGAGUGACAACUCGAGCAGGUACGAAAGUAGGACUUAGUGAUCCGGUGGUAACAAGUGGGAGUGCCAUCGCUUAACGGAUAAAAGCUACCCUGGGGAUAACAGGCUUAUCUCCCCCAAGAGUUCACAU